Molecule: long non-coding RNA, 1493 nt
Filed under: Zea mays
Lineage: Eukaryota; Viridiplantae; Streptophyta; Magnoliopsida; Poales; Poaceae
Description: long non-coding RNA NONZMAT004534
Source: RNAcentral
AUGUUUAUAAUUACAGUUUGGCUAAAAUAUAAUCCCUAAUUAUAUUAUGAUUUAACUUAAAGUUGAAUUAAUUAUUAAUUUAGGUUAUUUUCUCACAUGAUCUAUUAAAUCAACAUAAGGCCUAGUUUUAAGUGCUUAAAUUGCAUGGAUCUUUGGAAAACCAUAACUUCACAGUAGUAACUCCAAAUUUAGUCGUUCUCGAAUCCGCGAUCUCGUAGCGACGCGUAGAUUAUUAUUACACAGUUUAUUCUUAUGUUUGGUGUGAUGUUAAUUUUGCAUAUACCAUGUUGGUUUGUAUUGCUACGAUUAGCAGCGAGGUUACGAAUCUUGAAGAUCAUCCUGGUACCUAGAAUCUCAAGUCCCAGGCAAGUUGUGCCCUUGAUCACUUCUUUUUACCUACUCAUGUUCUGAUUAUUCAUAAUGAUUUGCAUAGGUUAACUUUGAUGGGACCCAAUAGGUUACCCUAGAUUGUUUAUCUCAUUACCUUGUUUACCCCUGAAUCACUUGGGUAGUUUGCUAUUGCUUUACAUGGAUUUGGGAUAAUUAUUUAUCGUAUCUAUGUUCCAGUUAUUUUGUUAUUCUAUUUAUGUUUAUGUCAAGAUCAUUAAUGUUAAUUGGAACAUAGAGCUUAACUUGAGAAACACGUGCCACCACAAGGGUUUAUGGACGCCCUUGGCUGAUUAAUUAGGAAAGCUAGUGGAGGACUACCUUACUCGAAAGGGGCAAGGGCAGUAGGGGAGUGGUCAGUGUAGGGAGGUCCUUGCUUGAUUUUGCUGCGAUGGCGGUCAGGCAAGAACCCUGCAUUGGAGCUUCCUAUAAAUUGUAGCGGGUUUUCUGAAGCUAGUGGAACUUUGUAAAGGCCUCGUAGUGUUACCCUGCCUCGCCUCCUCGGUAGAGGUGUAUGGGAAGUCGUGAUCCCCUUGGCAGAUGGGUAACAUGACUUGUGGGUAAAGGGUACCACCUCUGCAGAGUGUAAAACUGGUAUACUAGCCGAGCUCACGGUCAUGAGCAGCUCAGGACUCUCUGAUGAUUAACUUAUGGAACUAAAUUCAAUUUGUCAUAUGCAUUGCAUCGCAGGUGAAGUUGUUACUUUUGUUCUACUACUUAAUUGGGUUGGUAUUUAUUUAUACUUAGUAAUUGCUAAUAAAAUUUUGACCAACUUUAAAAGCAAUGCUCAGCUCUAACCAUCCUCUUUGGUAAGCCUUACACUUCAUGUGAGCUCCCACCUUUGGCGAGUUCAUGCACAUUAUUCCCCACAACUUGUUGAGCGAUGAAAGUAUGUGAGCUCACUCUUGCUGUCUCACACCCCCCACAGGUCAAGAACAGGUACCACAGGAUGAGGCGCAUGGAGGAUGCUGCGAUGUGUUCGUGAGAGGUCUAGGCCGUUGUCUCCCAGCCAACUUUGGGUUGCUGGACCGUUAUCUCCUUAUAAUGUAAUUAUUUAUUUAUUUUGUAUAGAACUUCUGUUAUAUAGUAAAGAUGUGACAUUCGAU